GGCUUGGCCAACAUCAAGAUGUGACCUAGAGGGGAGUCUUAAGGCUAUUUCAUAGGAUUUCUAGGCCAAAGUUCUUUCACCUUGCUCCUUUCCUCUCCCUUCUUAUCAAAUACAGUUCUGUCCAAAGGGACCUUGGUGGGAGCAGAGAGCCCAGACCACUCAGGUGAACAUGGAAGAAUGGAAGGAACAUCUGCAACACAGAGAUGGCAUGCACUGGACACAAAGUGGAGAGAGGAAUCUAAGCGCCUGGACCGGUAAACUCAUCUCUAGAGAGAGCCGGGAUGGGCGUGAAGAGUCCGAAAGUUCCCCCAGUGUGGCUACUGGAGCCGGCGGAGACCAAGAAGGAGCAAUCGGGCAGGCAGAGGAAGGAAAGUCCGUCUUGCAGGCCGAUGGGCGCUCUCAUGUCUACAGCUGCAGGGAAACCAGAUUCGGCCUCUCCUGCCACCCUCGUACCUUAAUCUUCACUCUCCUGGAUCCCUCUCUCUCCUAUUUAUUCCAUCUGUUUUCUCUUUCCCAGUCUGUGCCUCUCUCCUUGGGCUCUGUCUCUGGGCCCUGUCUCUGGGCCUCCCCCUGCACCCUCCCUGCUCAGCCCUGUCAGCCAGGCCCAGGCCCCCCAGGACGCGGGAUCCCCAGCAGCCACCGGCACGUGCCAAUCUUCGCCCUGGCGGAGGCGUCUCCAUGGGCCGCGGGCCCCGUGGCGCGCCUCCUGCCCGCGUAAUGCGCUCUAAUAUUUAUUUACAUGCCUUUCAGACUAUUAUUUAUUAAAGUAUCGCUGCCAAC
This 780-nucleotide long non-coding RNA is filed under the name Heterocephalus glaber (naked mole-rat). Its description in RNAcentral is "lncRNA (ENSHGLG00100034306.1)". The record is from RNAcentral. Lineage: Eukaryota; Metazoa; Chordata; Mammalia; Rodentia; Bathyergidae.